Molecule: ribosomal RNA, 253 nt
Filed under: uncultured bacterium
Lineage: Bacteria
Description: partial 16S ribosomal RNA
Rfam family: Bacterial small subunit ribosomal RNA
Source: RNAcentral
UACGUAGGGUGCAAGCGUUGUCCGGAAUUAUUGGGCGUAAAGCGCACGUAGGCGGUUCGUUAUGUCGGAUGUGAAAGCCCUUGGCUUAACCGAGGAAGUGCAUCCGAAACUGGCGAGCUAGAGUACGAAAGAGGAUCGCGGAAUUCCCGGUGUAGAGGUGAAAUUCGUAGAUAUCGGGAGGAACACCCGUGGCGAAGGCGGCCAUCUGGACCAGUACUGACGCUGAGGCACGAAAGCGUGGGGAGCAAACAGG